AGCCAAUGAUGUUUUAAGAGUAGUGGACAGAAAAUAUUUCUGACAAUUGUGCGCUGAGGCU
This is a small nucleolar RNA of Podarcis muralis (Common wall lizard), 61 nucleotides long. Ensembl annotates it as small nucleolar RNA SNORD75. NCBI's taxonomy places the organism in Eukaryota, Metazoa, Chordata, Lepidosauria, Squamata, Lacertidae. The record is from Ensembl.